This 253-nucleotide ribosomal RNA is filed under the name uncultured bacterium. RNAcentral describes it as "partial 16S ribosomal RNA". It matches the Rfam family "Bacterial small subunit ribosomal RNA", at positions 524 to 776 of the family's 1533-position model. The record is from RNAcentral.
GACAGAGGGUGCAAACGUUGUUCGGAAUUACUGGGCGUAAAGCGCGUGUAGGCGGUGCGGUAAGUCGGGUGUGAAAGCCCUGGGCUCAACCCAGGAAGUGCAUUCGAUACUACCGUACUAGAGUCCCGGAGAGGUUGGUGGGACUCUCGGUGUAGAGGUGAAAUUCGUAGAUAUCGAGAAGAACACCGGUGGCGAAGGCGGCCAACUGGACGGUGACUGACGCUGAGACGCGAAAGCGUGGGGAGCAAACAGG